UGAGGAGAUUCUGCCUUUGCCAGGUGA
RNAcentral lists this non-coding RNA (27 nucleotides) under Homo sapiens (human). The record is from RNAcentral. Lineage: Eukaryota; Metazoa; Chordata; Mammalia; Primates; Hominidae.